CCACCUUGAAAACACCCACAUGGAUUUAUGUGCAUAAAUGAGGGCAUCCAUCCGGCUUGAGAACGCAUUUAGUAGAAAGAAACAGGAAGAAGAAUGUUGAGGGCACUGCUGCUGCUGGAUGUGUCGCUGGAUGUGUCCAUGGAUAUCCAAGCUUCUGCAAUUCGUUGUGAUGCCGUGGGGACAAUGUUCUUGCAUUUUUGGAGUUGAUUGAGCUUUAAUGCUGUCAAGUUCGAGUGUUGGGCCUUGUCCGAGUGAACCUAGAACAUGGUACUUGUCCCUCCUAGCUACCGGUACUGGUCCUCCAGAUGAAUGCAGAUUUCGUGCCAAACUCUGUCUCCGUGUUUCAAGUUUCGUGACAAACUCAGGCGUAGGUCGCGGCCAUGCUAUCAAGUUAGAGGUCUAUCAGAUCGGUUACAGAUUCUUAAAGUUCCUUCUUUCGACAUGCUCCGAACGUGAGACACUAAAAACUAGAGAUACACUGAGCUUACAAAUGCUUGGUGGACUUGAUUUGGACUAGUGUAGGGUGUUCCGCAAGUAGUUUUGUUGCACAAAUUUCAAAAUUAUCAAUAUGUCUGAGCAUUACCUACAAAAGUCGAGUUCAGUAUCACUUUUCAGCACAGAUCUUACAAACACAGAAGUAUAUGAUUCAAUGUAAAGAUAUGGAUUUCACGUGAAAGAUUUUUCAAUGAAAGUAUUAUGAAGUGGACUUUACGCA
Molecule: non-coding RNA, 715 nt
Organism: Physcomitrium patens
Lineage: Eukaryota; Viridiplantae; Streptophyta; Bryopsida; Funariales; Funariaceae
Source: RefSeq, a predicted model, not a curated record